GACGUAGGGCGCGAGCGUUGUCCGGAUUUAUUGGGCGUAAAGAGCUCGUAGGCGGCUUGUCGCGUCGGCUGUGAAAACCCGCGGCUCAACUGUGGGCGGGCAGCUGAUACGGGCAGACUGGAGGUAUGCAGGGGAGAACGGAAUUCCUGGUGUAGCGGUGAAAUGCGCAGAUAUCAGGAGGAACACCGGUGGCGAAGGCGGUUCUCUGGGCAUGUCCUGACGCUGAGGAGCGAAAGUGUGGGGAGCGAACAGG
Molecule: ribosomal RNA, 253 nt
Filed under: uncultured bacterium
Lineage: Bacteria
Description: partial 16S ribosomal RNA
Rfam family: Bacterial small subunit ribosomal RNA
Source: RNAcentral